UAACAUCCGAAACGGGUGCUAAUACCGCAUAGUUUCUUGAUCGCAUGAUUGAGAAAGGAAAGACGGCCUUUGUGCUGUCGCUUAUGGAUGGACCCGCGGCGUAUAGUUAGUUGGUGAGGUAACGGCUCACCAAGACGAUGAUACGUAGCCGACCUGAGAGGGUGAUCGGCCACAUUGGGACUGAGACACGGCCCAAACUCCUACGGGAGGCAGCAGUAGGGAAUCUUCCGCAAUGGACGAAAGUCUGACGGAGCAACGCCGCGUGAGUGGAAAACGAAGGUUUUCGGAUCGUAAAACUCUGUUGUCAGAGAAGAACAAGUUGGAGAGUAACUGCUCCAGCCUUGACGGUAUCUGACCAGAAAGCCACGGCUAACUACGUGCCAGCCGCCGC
RNAcentral lists this ribosomal RNA (391 nucleotides) under uncultured bacterium. RNAcentral describes it as "bacterial SSU rRNA". It matches the Rfam family "Bacterial small subunit ribosomal RNA", at positions 144 to 518 of the family's 1533-position model. The record is from RNAcentral.